UGCACACAUGACUGUAAGUCGAUUUGGAUAAAAGCGUCUGCUAAAUGGCAUUUA
Salmo salar (Atlantic salmon) is the source of this 54-nucleotide non-coding RNA. Lineage: Eukaryota; Metazoa; Chordata; Actinopteri; Salmoniformes; Salmonidae. The record is from Rfam.